UUCCGGUUGAUCCUGCCGGAGGGUACUGCUAUCGGAGUACGAUUAAGCCAUGCAAGUCAGUUCACGACCAUCGUGGACGGCGUACGGCUGAGUAACACGUAGUCAAUCUGCCCAUCGGACGGAGAUACCCCCGGGAAACUGGGGUUAAACCCCGAUAGACCAUCUGUGCUGGAAUGCUUGAUGGCUCAAAUCUUUUGGUGAAUUGGAGCCAAGAGGCCGAUGGAUGAGACUGCGGCAGAUUAGGUAGUUGGUGAGGUAACGGCUCACCAAGCCGAUAAUCUGUAGGGGCAAUGGGAGUUGUAGCCCCCAGAAGGACACUGAGACAAGGGUCCUAGUCCUACGGGAUGCAGCAGGCGCGAAACCUUUGCCAUGCGCGAAAGCGUGACAGGGGAACUCCGAGUGGUAGAAGGUUUUACUUUCUAUCUUUUUGUCAAUCCAAACAAUUGGCAGAAUAGGGUCUGGGUAAGGCCAGUGCCAGCCGCCAUGUUGGGAGUGUUCACACCCCCGACACGGUAUGCGGUAAUACUGGCAGAACAAGUGGUACCCACGAAUAUUGGGUCUAAAGAGUCCGUAGCGGGCCGACUAAGUCCACUGUGAAAUCUGGCGGCUUAGCCGUCAGGUGGGCAGUGGAUACUGAUCGGCUUGGGAGCGGGGGAGGCCGGGAGUACUGGCGGGGUAGCGGUAAAAUGCUGUAAUCCUGCCAGGACUACCAGUGGCGAAGGCGCCCGGCCAAAACGCGUCCGACCGUGAGGGACGAAAGGCUAGGAGAACGAAUCGGAUUAGAUACCCGAGUAGCCCUAGCAGUAAAUCAUGCGGACUGUGGUGUUGCGCGACUUCGAGUCGUCGCAGUGCUGUAGCGUAGUGUUAAGUCCGCCACCUGGGGAGUACGGCGCAAGGUUGAAACUUAAAGGAAUUG
This 916-nucleotide ribosomal RNA is filed under the name uncultured archaeon. RNAcentral describes it as "bacterial SSU rRNA". It matches the Rfam family "Archaeal small subunit ribosomal RNA", at positions 1 to 867 of the family's 1478-position model. The record is from RNAcentral.